CCUACGGGUGGCAGCAGUAGGGAAUCUUCCACAAUGGGCGAAAGCCUGAUGGAGCAACGCCGCGUGGGUGAAGAAGGUCUUCGGAUCGUAAAACCCUGUUGUUAGAGAAGAAAGUGCGUGAGAGUAACUGUUCACGUGUCGACGGUAUCGAACCAGAAAGACACGGCUAACAACGUGCAAGCAGCCGCGGGAAUACGUAGGUGGCAAGCGUUAUCCGGAUUUCUUGGGCGUAACGGGAACGCAGGCGGUCUUUUAUGUCUGAGGUGAAAGCCUUCGGCUUAACCGGAGUAGUGCAUUGGAAUCUGGGAGACUUGAGUGCAGAAGUGGAGAGUGGAACUCCAUGUGUAGCGG
This 351-nucleotide ribosomal RNA is filed under the name uncultured bacterium. Its description in RNAcentral is "partial 16S ribosomal RNA". It matches the Rfam family "Bacterial small subunit ribosomal RNA", at positions 338 to 681 of the family's 1533-position model. The record is from RNAcentral.